RNAcentral lists this ribosomal RNA (490 nucleotides) under uncultured bacterium. RNAcentral's name for it is "partial 16S ribosomal RNA". It matches the Rfam family "Bacterial small subunit ribosomal RNA", at positions 28 to 507 of the family's 1533-position model. The record is from RNAcentral.
GAUGAACGCUAGCUAUAGGCUUAACACAUGCAAGUCGAGGGGCAGCGAAUAGAUAGCUUGCUAUUUAUGUCGGCGACCGGCGCACGGGUGAGUAACGCGUAUCCAACCUGCCCAUAACUAAGGGAUAACCCAGCGAAAGUUGGACUAAUACCUUAUGUAUUCGUUUGAUCUCAUGAGAUUACGAAUAAAGAUUUAUCGGUUAUGGAUGGGGAUGCGUCUGAUUAGCUUGUUGGCGUGGUAACGGCCCACCAAGGCAACGAUCAGUAGGGGUUCUGAGAGGAAGGUCCCCCACAUUGGAACUGAGACACGGUCCAAACUCCUACGGGAGGCAGCAGUGAGGAAUAUUGGUCAAUGGACGCAAGUCUGAACCAGCCAAGUAGCGUGCAGGAUGACGGCCCUAUGGGUUGUAAACUGCUUUUAUAUGGGGAUAAAGUGGGGAACGUGUUCCCUUUUGCAGGUACCAUAUGAAUAAGGACCGGCUAAUUCCGUG